Long non-coding RNA from Peromyscus eremicus (cactus mouse), 858 nucleotides. RefSeq lists it as uncharacterized. Lineage: Eukaryota; Metazoa; Chordata; Mammalia; Rodentia; Cricetidae. The transcript is spliced from 5 exons. The record is from RefSeq and is a predicted model, not a curated record.
UGGCCAGAGAGAACAAUGGAGAAGAAACACUCUAGUGAGUAAAGUGGACUGUGCUGGAAAAUACUGCAGAACGGAGCACCUUCCCCUUCCCAGAGGAAGAGUGGGCAACAGUCAGAGACAUCAUUGUGCCUGCCUACAUUUUAGAUGACUUUUAUAUUGUUUCUAAAAUCUCUAGAAAUGUCAGGUUCCUCUCAAGGAUGUUCCAGGUGACUGACCAACUCAUUUGGAUUAACUCUUACGGGAGGGAGCAAGGAGCACCUAUCCAGCUUCAGAAAUUGAGUGCACAAACGAGAACAUGCUUAUUAUAUUCAAUAAAAUACAGAACUGAGAUGCCAAAGGGGACAAUACUCACAACGAACACGUUGGUCUGGGAACAAUUGCUCCUGAUGCAGAAUCUUUCCAUUCCAUGGGAUCUCAGUUAACUGCCUGCUAUGAUUUUGUCAUUGAAGCUAACUGAACAACUCACAGCUCUGAAAAGUAAAUGGAGACCUUGGCUGUGUUUGAACUUUAUUAUUUUAGUUGAGAUAAACCAGAAGUGACCAAUUCUCAAGCUAUUUCAUUGAGCAACUGUACCAAAACUCAUCUGAAUCAAAACAUGAGGCAAAGAAGGAAACCAGAAAUAAGUAGCCAGAGAAACACCAGCAAGAGCAUACCCAGAUGUUAUGAAGGAAACAUCAGGAUGGAAAAUAGAAUCAAUUUCGCAUACUCAUAAAAUGGUCAUUGAACUGCCUGGUUAAUAGUUGGUCAAGAUUUUCCAGAAACUUAAUAUGAAGACAACUACUCUGCCAAGAUAAUUAGUGUUCUGAUUUUAUAAGAGAAAAACAAAAACCUUGAGCACAAUAAGGUAAAACUUUAAAA